GGGUUGUGAGGUUAAGCGACUAAGCGUACACGGUGGAUGCCCUGGCAGUCAGAGGCGAUGAAGGACGUGCUAAUCUGCGAUAAGCGUCGGUAAGGUGAUAUGAACCGUUAUAACCGGCGAUUUCCGAAUGGGGAAACCCAGUGUGUUUCGACACACUAUCAUUAACUGAAUCCAUAGGUUAAUGAGGCGAACCGGGGGAACUGAAACAUCUAAGUACCCCGAGGAAAAGAAAUCAACCGAGAUUCCCCCAGUAGCGGCGAGCGAACGGGGAGCAGCCCAGAGCCUGAAUCAGUGUGUGUGUUAGUGGAAGCGUCUGGAAAGGCGCGCGAUACAGGGUGACAGCCCCGUACACAAAAAUGCACAUACUGUGAGCUCGAUGAGUAGGGCGGGACACGUGGUAUCCUGUCUGAAUAUGGGGGGACCAUCCUCCAAGGCUAAAUACUCCUGACUGACCGAUAGUGAACCAGUACCGUGAGGGAAAGGCGAAAAGAACCCCGGCGAGGGGAGUGAAAAAGAACCUGAAACCGUGUACGUACAAGCAGUGGGAGCACGCUUCGGCGUGUGACUGCGUACCUUUUGUAUAAUGGGUCAGCGACUUAUAUUCUGUAGCAAGGUUAACCGAAUAGGGGAGCCGAAGGGAAACCGAGUCUUAACUGGGCGUUAAGUUGCAGGGUAUAGACCCGAAACCCGGUGAUCUAGCCAUGGGCAGGUUGAAGGUUGGGUAACACUAACUGGAGGACCGAACCGACUAAUGUUGAAAAAUUAGCGGAUGACUUGUGGCUGGGGGUGAAAGGCCAAUCAAACCGGGAGAUAGCUGGUUCUCCCCGAAAGCUAUUUAGGUAGCGCCUCGUGAAUUCAUCUCCGGGGGUAGAGCACUGUUUCGGCAAGGGGGUCAUCCCGACUUACCAACCCGAUGCAAACUGCGAAUACCGGAGAAUGUUAUCACGGGAGACACACGGCGGGUGCUAACGUCCGUCGUGAAGAGGGAAACAACCCAGACCGCCAGCUAAGGUCCCAAAGUCAUGGUUAAGUGGGAAACGAUGUGGGAAGGCCCAGACAGCCAGGAUGUUGGCUUAGAAGCAGCCAUCAUUUAAAGAAAGCGUAAUAGCUCACUGGUCGAGUCGGCCUGCGCGGAAGAUGUAACGGGGCUAAACCAUGCACCGAAGCUGCGGCAGCGACACUAUGUGUUGUUGGGUAGGGGAGCGUUCUGUAAGCCUGUGAAGGUGUACUGUGAGGUAUGCUGGAGGUAUCAGAAGUGCGAAUGCUGACAUAAGUAACGAUAAAGCGGGUGAAAAGCCCGCUCGCCGGAAGACCAAGGGUUCCUGUCCAACGUUAAUCGGGGCAGGGUGAGUCGACCCCUAAGGCGAGGCCGAAAGGCGUAGUCGAUGGGAAACAGGUUAAUAUUCCUGUACUUGGUGUUACUGCGAAGGGGGGACGGAGAAGGCUAUGUUGGCCGGGCGACGGUUGUCCCGGUUUAAGCGUGUAGGCUGGUUUUCCAGGCAAAUCCGGAAAAUCAAGGCUGAGGCGUGAUGACGAGGCACUACGGUGCUGAAGCAACAAAUGCCCUGCUUCCAGGAAAAGCCUCUAAGCAUCAGGUAACAUCAAAUCGUACCCCAAACCGACACAGGUGGUCAGGUAGAGAAUACCAAGGCGCUUGAGAGAACUCGGGUGAAGGAACUAGGCAAAAUGGUGCCGUAACUUCGGGAGAAGGCACGCUGAUA
RNAcentral lists this ribosomal RNA (1721 nucleotides) under Escherichia coli. RNAcentral's name for it is "partial 23S ribosomal RNA". It matches the Rfam family "Bacterial large subunit ribosomal RNA", at positions 1 to 1756 of the family's 2925-position model. The record is from RNAcentral. Lineage: Bacteria; Pseudomonadati; Pseudomonadota; Gammaproteobacteria; Enterobacterales; Enterobacteriaceae.